UAUAAAUGCCAUCACGCUACCUUUGUUUAUCCUAGUAAGUGUUAGUUUGGAAGUACUACACAUACUUCUAUUGGCUUUUAAAUUAAGCGUGGUGCUUAGGUUAAACAGCCUUCCUUAAUCUGAUUAGACCUGGAGUCUAGUUCGGUUAUUGAACUAAAAACUGCUUGUAUAGACAUUGGUAUAUUUUGUCGGACUAACCCUUGCAGAAAAACUUUCAAUAUUGAUUUGGGAAGUCCUGAGAUAAACACACAUUGGAGACAAAGAGAGAGACACAUCAAGUUUAACAAUCUACACAAG
Molecule: long non-coding RNA, 297 nt
Filed under: Sorghum bicolor (sorghum)
Lineage: Eukaryota; Viridiplantae; Streptophyta; Magnoliopsida; Poales; Poaceae
Description: long non-coding RNA (SBIC_LNC005184)
Source: RNAcentral